CAGUAAAUAGUUUAAGAAAAUAUUAAUUUUGGAGAUUAAAGAUAAGCGUUAUAUUUGCUUUUUACUGA
RNAcentral lists this transfer RNA (68 nucleotides) under Priassus spiniger. RNAcentral describes it as "tRNA-Pro". Lineage: Eukaryota; Metazoa; Arthropoda; Insecta; Hemiptera; Pentatomidae. The record is from RNAcentral.